This 337-nucleotide ribosomal RNA is filed under the name uncultured bacterium. RNAcentral describes it as "bacterial SSU rRNA". It matches the Rfam family "Bacterial small subunit ribosomal RNA", at positions 30 to 367 of the family's 1533-position model. The record is from RNAcentral.
AUUGAACGCUGGCGGCAUGCCUUACACAUGCAAGUCGAACGGCAGCGGGGACUUCGGUCCGCCGGCGAGUGGCGAACGGGUGAGUAAAGUAUCGGAACGUACCUUUCAGUGGGGGAUAACUGUCCGAAAGGACAGCUAAUACCGCAUAUUCUGUGAGCAGGAAAGCAGGGGAUCGCAAGACCUUGCGCUGAUUGAGCGGCCGAUAUCAGAUUAGCUAGUUGGUGAGGUAAAGGCUCACCAAGGCGACGAUCUGUAGCGGGUCUGAGAGGAUGAUCCGCCACACUGGAACUGAGACACGGUCCAGACUCCUACGGGAGGCAGCAGUGGGGAAUUUUGG